GUGCAGCAGUCGCGAAUUUUUCUCAAUGGGGGAAACCCUGAAGGAGCGACGCCGCGUGGAGGAUGAAGGCUUUCGGGUUGUAAACUCCUGUCAUUUGAGAACAAGUGGCCGAACGUAACUACUUCGGCCUUGAUAGUAUCAGAAGAGGAAGGGACGGCUAACUCUGUGCCAGCAGCCGCGGUAGUACAGAGGUCUCAAGCGUUGUUCGGAUUCAUUGGGCGUAAAGGGUGCGUAGGUGGCGCCGUAAGUCGGGUGUGAAAUUUCGGAGCUUAACUCCGAAACUGCAUUCGAUACUGCGGUGCUUGAGGACUGGAGAGGAGACUGGAAUUUACGGUGUAGCAGUGAAAUGCGUAGAGAUCGUAAGGAAGACCAGUGGCGAAGGCGGGUCUCUGGACAGUUCCUGACACUGAGGCACGAAGGCCAGGGGAGCAAACGGGAUUAGAUACCCCGGUAGU
Molecule: ribosomal RNA, 455 nt
Filed under: uncultured organism
Description: bacterial SSU rRNA
Rfam family: Bacterial small subunit ribosomal RNA
Source: RNAcentral